This 450-nucleotide ribosomal RNA is filed under the name uncultured bacterium. Its description in RNAcentral is "bacterial SSU rRNA". It matches the Rfam family "Bacterial small subunit ribosomal RNA", at positions 354 to 796 of the family's 1533-position model. The record is from RNAcentral.
GUGGGGAAUAUUGGACAAUGGGCGAAAGCCUGAUCCAGCCAUGCCGCGUGUGUGAAGAAGGUCUUCGGAUUGUAAAGCACUUUAAGUUGGGAGGAAGGGCAGUAAGUUAAUACCUUGCUGUUUUGACGUUACCGACAGAAUAAGCACCGGCUAACUUCGUGCCAGCAGCCGCGGUAAUACGAAGGGUGCAAGCGUUAAUCGGAAUUACUGGGCGUAAAGCGCGCGUAGGUGGGUUUGUAAGUUGGAGGUGAAAUCCACGGGCUCAACCAGGGAACUGCCUCCAAAAAUGCAUGACUAGAGUACGGUAGAGGGUAGUGGAAUUUCCUGUGUAGCGGUGAAAUGCGUAGAUAUAGGAAGGAACACCAGUGGCGAAGGCGACUACCUGGACUGAUACUGACACUGAGGUGCGAAAGCGUGGGGAGCAAACAGGAUUAGAAACCCCAGUAGUCC